Molecule: RNA transcript, 3567 nt
Organism: Nematostella vectensis (starlet sea anemone)
Lineage: Eukaryota; Metazoa; Cnidaria; Anthozoa; Actiniaria; Edwardsiidae
Gene name: harmonin-like
Exons: 22
Source: RefSeq, a predicted model, not a curated record
UUUUCGCCAAUCGGACUCAUGUUUUGGAAGUUGGGGGGGAUUGAAUGAGUGAAGUCUUCUAGAACUGUAGAACGGCGUCUCUAACCUAUUGAUUUUAAUAGAACUUCAAUGUCAAAAUGAAGCGUGGAUACGAACAAGAAAGCCUUUACACAAUAACUCAACAUGCCGAGGAAUUUAAGAACAAGGUUAACGUGUCGAUCGAUACCGAAGAAGAAAAAUCUGGUUUCUACCAGGCCCUGAAAACAUACCACGAGUCUGGAAGUAUAACUCAGUUUAUCAAUGACAUCAAGUCAGUUAUCAACACACCAAAGAGAUACCCUUUGUACAAAGACAUCAGAUACCUGAUCAAUCCAGAACAUGUGGAGGCUUACCUGAAGAUGAUUCCCAACUCACCAAGUGAUGGUAUUCACAUGGUCCGGAUCCAGAGAACGGGACGUGAACCUAUGGGUUUCACAAUCAGAGGAGGAAAAGAACAUUGUGUUGGCAUAUUUGUCUCUCUUGUCACAAGGGGAUCACCUGCCGAUAUAGUUGGGCUGAAGGAGGGAGAUGAGAUACUGACAGUAAAUAACAUGAUUUUGUCAGAAGCUACUCAUGAUGAAGUUGUUGACCUAUUACGCUCGAGAAGGGUGUUACUGCUUAAAGUCAAAAGUAUUGGCAAAGUUCCUUGUAAAAUAAAUGAUGCUGUGACUUGGGAAGCAGUUGAGGACAAAGAUGAAGUGUACUACCAUCCUGAUUUACUUGAUCACUUGGUCCAACAAGGAACUUUGAGUACUGAGCAGCCCUUCAAGGUAUCCCCAGGUGACAAGCGUGCCUUCAUGCAUGUCGGGCACAAGGGGAUCGGAUGCAGCAUCCGGAAUGGAAUCCCUGGAAAAGACGGCCUAUUCGUGGUGUCAGUUAAUCCCGGCUCUUUGUCUGACAGAACAGGUCUUAGGGUUGGGGAUGAGAUAAUUGCAAUAAAUGAUCAACAUACUGUCAAUUUUUCUUAUUCCGAGGCUGUGUACCUGCUUAAAACUCUAAAGCAGCUCAACCUUGUUCUGAGACAUUCAAAGGAAGUUGAAGACUUUAUAUGUGAAGAGGAAGCAAGCAAUGACCAGGAAAGGGUACCUGAGUUUGCUCUCAAAACACAGCUGUUGAUGAAGAAAGCAGAGGAGAAGGAGAAACAGAGGCGGGAAAAAGCCAAAGAGGAAAUGCACUUUGAGACUCUUGCCAAGGUCAAGUCCCAAGAGAGUUUGGACAAGGAGGAGAUCUCUACCAGAUCUGCAACAGAAAGCAGCACAUCUGGGUCUAUUUCAUCAUCAUCGUCCCGGACAUCACCUACCAACCCGACAGCAACUGAUGCUUUCCAAACACCCAUUACCAAGACAGGAGUUUCCUUGUCUGAGAUGACGCCAAACUCCAGGAAAAAAGCGCUGUUUACUGAAAGAAUACAAAUGAUAGAGCCACUAUCUGUGUCUAAUACCAACACACCCUCAGAACUGCCUUUGCCAAUCUUCAACCCUAGUAACUGUGACUAUGGGGAAGACGUGUUGCGUGGUAGAGAAUCCAGUCUUAUCACCAUUGAUAAGGUCUCUGAUCUCGGGAUUGCUAUUGAGGAGCGUAACGGUGGCAUAUACGUGAAUCACGUGAAUACCGAGGGUUCGGCCGCACAGAGUGGUGCCCUCUACCCUGGGGACCAACUGUUGAAUGUGGAGGGCACGAGUUUGAUUGGCAUCAGCUUGGCGCAAGCGCACAAGGAGCUCAAAGAAGCCAUGGAAAGACGAUCGGAAUCACUCGAUCUAGUUGUCGCUUUGGCACCGUCCAAACAAGGAGAUCAACCAAGAAGGCGCGGUGUUAUCAAGAUAAAAACAGACAAGUCUGGCCACGAAAUAUACGACACCUGGUUGUAAUGAACUUCUCUACUGUGACUACUUUGACACCACGAGACAACAUUCGCCCAGCUUUUUGGGGAAUUGCCCCUUGUGCGUUUACCUGCUGGUCGAAAGGGAAAUACUUGACGUCGAUAACACAAGAGCUCUUUAUGACCGUCGGGACCAUCCACAACACUGUCCCAUCCGACCUGACCACCGGACGAGGAGUAUUAGACGAGGUGAUGGAUUCUCCUAAGUCGCCAGCCCUGAAAUUGCAGAGAAAUGCUAUUAUGGUUACUGAAGUAGAACAUGGCCCGUCCUGUUACGCACUGCAUGACUAUCUGUACAAGUUGAUUUGUCUGUUUUUCACAAGAUGGCCCCUCGUCCUGUAUUUUAUGACGCAAUAGGUAACGGGCAUGAUUGGUGUAUAUGGUAAAAAGUCCCCCUCCCUCGGCUUUGUGUGUAUAGUGAGAACUCUCCCAGUGCCCGGUUACCUACUGGUUGUAUAUGAUCACCGGUGGUGUCCAAAUAUCGGAGGCUUCAAGAUUGAUCUGCGUCACUCCCCCAUAGUCAGCGGGGUUCCACUGGAGGAAUGCAUCUUUCCAUCCCUGUUUUAAAACACCAAUCUGGUAAUCAGGCAAUAAUCAUCAGAUAAGCUCGUAUACGACCCACCUCCUCACCCUCACCCCUUGCCGCCUAUUUUGUUGUUGUUGUUGUUAGAUAAGUUUAUAAAAAAAAGUCCCAAACGCAUCAUAAGCCAAGUGCAACUUGCGCGGCUUAGUGGAAAAGCGGCUUCUAUAGACUACAGUGUAUAUUUGAACUUUUGAUAGGACCCCUAAAAAACAAGCAUGCUUCUAAAAUGAGUUCCAAUUAUCUUACCAUUCGAAGGCGAACAUUGGUCGUGAAAACCAUAUUCUUUUCCUCCUGUAAGAGACAAGCCGUGCCAAGAGUAAACAAAUUGUUAACCACCAGGGAAGAGAUGAAAACAUGCCCAAAUACGAAACAAAAACAGGUGAUGGUAUUAACCACUGGAAAGUAAACCACUAUUGUGGGUAGACCACUGUAAUUGUUCUGUACUCACGACUGCGACUAUCGUUUUCAGCAUCAUGCCGUGUCUAAGCACGAGAGCUUCUUUAACGUCCCUAACCGGGCGGAACCGCGGCGAGUAGCGUGUGGUGUUCAGCAGAUGUCGAAUAAGAUGAUCCUCAGGGGUCAUUUUCAACGCGAAGUCAGAGCCUAGGCGCAUUAUAAGGUGUGAAUGAGUUGAUGUGACGAUACUGCUGGUCGUGAUGACGAUGGUGCUGAUGAUGAUGAUGAUGAUUGUGGUGAUGAUGAUAAUGGUGCUGCUGCUGAUGGUGAGAGCGAUGAUGGUAAUGAUGAUAGUGCUGCUUAUGAUGGUGGUGUUGUUGAUCUUGAUGCUAUUGAUGGUGGUGAGGAUAAUAAUGGUGUGGUGAUGAUGGUUUGGUGAAAUAAUAAUAACUUUAUUCACUCUGUACUUUACACAGUUUGAGUUAAUAACUAAAGGGAAAAUAAGAAUAGUACAUUGAGUCUGGAAUCCGGAAUAACAAGUAGUUUUCGAGCCGGAUUCCAGUUAAAUAUUUAUUGUUGAUAGAACUGUGAGAAGGGGAGAAAUCAGUAAGGAAUUAGGAGAGUUCUAGAGUGAAAAAGUCGUGACCUAGUAUUGUUCAUCCAGUAAAUGACGCUUUAAAGCACUUUGAAA